Molecule: transfer RNA, 68 nt
Filed under: Cardita variegata
Lineage: Eukaryota; Metazoa; Mollusca; Bivalvia; Carditida; Carditidae
Description: tRNA-Trp
Source: RNAcentral
AAAGCUUUAAGAUAAAAAAUCUAUUAGUUUUCAAAACUGAAAAUACUGCUGUAAUGUGGUAGGCUUUG